RNAcentral lists this non-coding RNA (30 nucleotides) under Rattus norvegicus (Norway rat). The record is from RNAcentral. Lineage: Eukaryota; Metazoa; Chordata; Mammalia; Rodentia; Muridae.
UACAUAAUUUCUUGUAGCAUGUACCUUAUA